Molecule: RNA transcript, 1467 nt
Organism: Rattus norvegicus (Norway rat)
Lineage: Eukaryota; Metazoa; Chordata; Mammalia; Rodentia; Muridae
Gene: Aoc2-ps1
Gene name: amine oxidase, copper containing 2, pseudogene 1
Exons: 1
Source: RefSeq, marked provisional
UCUCCUCGAUGCCCUUCCAUGCCUCCCAGAAUUCAUUCCUGGACACACCCUGGCCAGAGCCAGCCGUUUGCAGACCUGAGCCCUGAGGAGCUGACAGCUGUGAUGAGCUUUCUGAUCAAGCACCUGGGGCCAGGGCUGGUGGACGCAGCCCAGGCUCGACCCUCGGACAACUGUGUCUUCUCAGUAGAGUUGCAGCUGCCUGCCAAGGCUGCAGCCCUGGCCCACCUGGACAGAGGGGGGCUCCCACCUGUGCGGGCGGCACUGGCCAUCAUCUUCUUUGGUGGACAACCCAAGCCCAAUGUGAGUGAGCUGGUGGUGGGGCCCCUGCCUCACGUACAUGCGGGAUGUGACUGUGGAGCGUCAUGGCGGCCCCCUGCCCUAUUAACCGUUGCCCCAUGCUGAAAGCUGAGUUUGUUCAGAUAUGGAGGCAUUUGAAAGAGGUGGAGUUACCAAAGGUAUCCACCUUUCUGGCUUCUGUCUUGAACUACAAUGGUUCCACCUUGGCACCUCUACAUUCUACUGCUAGAGGCUUCCAUUCUGUAGCAUCACCUUCACCCCGUGGGGCUAGAGCUAUUGUUGGACCGUGGGGCCCUGGACCCUGGCCACCAGGUAGUCCAACAGGCCUUCUACACUGGGCAUUGCUAUGCAGACUUGGCCCAGUUGGAAUGGGAGUUUAAAGCUGGCCGCCUAGGGGUUGGGGAUUUAGCUCGGUGGUAGAGUGCUUGCCUAGGAAGCGCAAGGCCCUGGGUUCAGUCCCCAGCUCCGAAAAAAAGAAAAAAAAAAAAAAAGAAAAGCUGGCCGCCUAGAAGCGAUUCAGGUCCCUCUACCCACACCAAAUGGGGCUUCCUCCCCGAGGCUAGAGUCACUCCAGACCCUCCUCUUCCCCUUCAGUUCUCAAUCCAGGUUCCCCAGUCCAACAUACAGGGAAGCUCAGUGAUAUCUCCCUCUGGACGUUUACCUUUGGUCAUGGGGUAUUCGGUGACUUAAGAAUUUUUGAUAUUCGGUUCAAGGGUGAGUGUGUGGCUUAUGAAGUCAGUGUCCAAGAGUGUCUGACAGUUUAUGGUGCCGAUUCCCCCAAAACAGUGACGAUCUGGCACUUGGACAGCAGCUAUGGGCUUGGUCAAAACAGCUGAGCCUAGGUUCGGGGGCCGGAGGGCGGAGGUGGAUUGCCCUCAUAAGCGACAAUGCUGGACAUCCAUGUACUGGUAGGUACAGGAUCAGUCCUGCUGCUCCCAGGGGCUGUGUGUGUAUUUGAGGAGGCCCAGAGAUACUCCUUUGAAGGCAUCACAAUGGCAUUGGGGGGGGGGGGUCAUUUCUGUGGUGGUUUGGCCAGCUCAGGCCUCCUGGUCAAGUUGGUGUCAUCAGUGGGCAACUAGGAUUACAUUUGGGACUUUAUGCUGCACCCAAGUGAUGGGGCACUUGAAACGUGUGUCCAUGCCACAGGCAAUAUCAACACAGCUUUCCUGA